AUUAUUUUAUCAACAUAAAAUGUGUUGUUUGUGUUACGUAAAAACUCACUAUUACUUUAUAUAUUGUAUAUCUUUAUUACGUUUUUCACCUACGGAGGUCGCCAUUGUUUCACCACGCAGGGCUGAUGACGUGGGUAGGUCAUAGUGGACAUGUUAUGCUAACAACUGCAGGCUAACAUCACUUGGAUCGGUCUUGGUGUGUCUAAUGAGCGUUUUAUUUUGCUUUUGAGCGGUGUAAACUCAGGCAAUGCCGCACUGCGUCGCUUAUGGUUGUAAMUUUAACACACACAAAAACAGAAAAAGUGAGGUGAGCCUUCAUCGCUUUCCACAGGAAGAAGAAAGAAGAUCACAAUGGGAAAAAGCUGUUGGAAGGACACAUCUUCCAAAGGACCCACAUUUGUGCUCUCAGCACUUCACUCCAGACGAUUUUGAGUCGUUUGUAAGAUCGAAGUUAAUGAAGGAGCUAACAGGUGGUCGUUCCCCACGCAGGCUUAAACCCGACGCUGUGCCGACAAUUUUCCCCCACAAAGUGCCUCAGCACCACCGGCUAGAGAGCGAAAGUGAGCUGGAAGCGCCGUUAUUUAAUGAUGGUACUGCUGGUGCUGCAUGUGGACUCACAAACCCGACACUGGACUCCAAACCAGAACCGACACCAGACAUAAAGACAGAGCCAGAGGACGUAAAGGUUCACACACAAGCAUUGUCUUCAACUACAACAAAUACUGAAACUCAAACGUUUGUGAGCACAUCAGAUGCUGCGGUACAGUGCCCAGAAGAUGCAUUUUACCCGAUUCAAAUGGAUCAAACAUCAGAUGCUACAGUACAGUGGCCAGAAGAUGCAUUUUACCAGAUUACAAUGGAUUAUACAUCACAUGCCGCAGUACAGUGGCCAGAAGAUGCGUCAUGCCAGAUUACAAUGAAUACAUCACAUGCUGCUGUACAGCGGUCAGAAGAUGCAUUUUACCAGAUUCAAAAGGAUCAUAUUUAUGCACGCAGGCCAAUAAAAAAAACACGAAAAGGAAGAAGACUGUAAUUAACAGSAUUUGUUCCUUUCAGAUGCUGAAUCAAAUGAGGAGCGUGUGCCCAUGUACACAAAAUCUGAUUCAGAGCACACUGCAAGUUUUUCAGAGUCUUCACGAAGGAAUCACAAGACACAAAUGUUGGCUGAGGCCAGCAUCUGAUGCCCACAUUGCUCUUGUGAAAAUCAUAAAAGACAAGCGGGUUUUGAAAGACCWGGACCAUCUUACAAAAUACAUCCACACAAUAACACUAGAGGUGUACCACUUUAUGUAUUUCAAGUACCUGCCAAAGAGAACACAUUUUACUUGUGAUGUGAUGGUUCACYCUUCCAUGCUGACUGCACUGGAUCAUAAACAACAACACCAACAGGGAAACAGGCAGUGUACCAAGAUGGGGAGAGUGUUGGUGAAUCUCUCUUCAAAUUUUCUUGGAGCAAWGUCRWUAAGAAAAUCGAAGCGAGGCUACUGUUUCAGAAGGACUACAGCUACAUGAAGGCCAUUAUGGAGGAUGCUCUGUCAGAAUCAGAUUCCACCCGUAACAUGAACAAAAGAGUAAAAACACAAGUCACGGCACCACAAGAGAGACCACCCAGARAAGACAGUAUUUUUUGGGCACAGAAGUUUUCACAUUUCAAGUAGUUGUACUAUUAGGUUGUACAAUUACAUACUGCUGAAAUACAUUUUUUUCUGUUUCAUAUAUCCCAUUUAAAAAAAGAAAGAAAAUAUACAUAAUUACCCACAAAAGGUUAGGGCUAUCUUGUGAGGCUUUGGGUCUUUAAUUUUUUAGGAGGUGUUCUAAUCUCAUGAUGUCAAAAUGUGAACAGUAUGAUUAAGAUGGACUGUUUUCAAAAAUGAAUCAAGUCUCUCUUGUGAAUUUUACUGUUAGAGCAGCAAAUCAUGCAUAGAGUACAGAAAUAUUUGGACACGUGCGGUCAAAUUCAAAGUUUAGAGUACGUUCACCAGUAAAAGGUUAGACUGCAAUUUAGUUUCACUCUGAAAUUGCACCUGAAAGACGUUUAUUCUUUUGUCAAUAUUAGUCUGAAAUUAUCCCAGAUGAACAGCAAUAUUUUGUUUCCCCAAAUUAUUCAUACAUAAUGUCAAAGUGCAAGUAAGACACAAAGACAAUGCAUUAUAACUUUGUCCUAAUUAAAAAGAAAUUCAGCGCAUCAAAGGAAGAAAAUAAAUUAUGACCGAGCAUGCGUCAUCUACCCGUCAUACAUUGCAACGACGUGCAUGGCGACAUCCGUGUGAAACUAUAUUUUUUUUAAUUUAUAAAAGCUAAACAGUUUUUUUACUGUAUUAUUUCUAUGUUUAAAAUAAAUGUUUCUCUAAUAAAACACUGUAUGUUGUUAACUAAU
Molecule: RNA transcript, 2377 nt
Organism: Austrofundulus limnaeus
Lineage: Eukaryota; Metazoa; Chordata; Actinopteri; Cyprinodontiformes; Rivulidae
Exons: 4
Source: RefSeq, a predicted model, not a curated record